RNAcentral lists this ribosomal RNA (465 nucleotides) under uncultured bacterium. RNAcentral's name for it is "bacterial SSU rRNA". It matches the Rfam family "Bacterial small subunit ribosomal RNA", at positions 338 to 795 of the family's 1533-position model. The record is from RNAcentral.
CCUACGGGUUGCACCAGUAGGGAAUCUUCCACAAUGGGCGCAAGCCUGAUGGAGCAACGCCGCGUGUGUGAUGAAGGGUUUCGGCUCGUAAAACACUGUUAUAAGAGAAGAACGGCACUGAGAGUAACAGUUCAGUGUGUGACGGUAUCUUACCAGAAAGGAACGGCUAAAUACGUGCCAGCAGCCGCGGUAAUACGUAUGUUCCAAGCGUUAUCCGGAUUUAUUGGGCGUAAAGCGAGCGCAGACAGUUAUUUAAGUCUGAAGUGAAAGCCCUCAGCUCAACUGAGGAAUUGCUUUGGAAACUGGAUGACUUGAGUGCAGUAGAGGAAAGUGGAACUCCAUGUGUAGCGGUGAAAUGCGUAGAUAUAUGGAAGAACACCAGUGGCGAAGGCGGCUUUCUGGACUGUAACUGACGUUGGGGCUCGUAAGUGUGGGUAGCAAACAGGAUUAGAUACCCGAGUAGUC